GACGAACGCUGGCGGCGUGCUUAACACAUGCAAGUCGAACGAAGUGGCGAACGGGUGAGUAACGCGUAAUCAACCUGCCCUUCAGUGGGGGACAACAGUUGGAAACGACCGCUAAUACCCCAUACUGACGGUGGGGAUUGCGUCGGAUUAGCUAGUUGGAGGGGUAACGGCCCACCCAGGCGAUGAUCAGUAGCCGGUCUGGGAGGAGGAACGGGCACAUUGGGACUGGUGCACCGGCCAGACUCCGACGGGAGGCAGCAGUGGGGGAUCUUCCGCAAUGGACGAAAGUCUGACGGAGCAACGCCGCGGGAGUGAUGACGGCCUUCGGGUUGGAAAGCUCUGUUAAUCGGGACGCGGUACCGGAAUAGAAAGCCACGGCUAACUACGUGCCAGCAGCCGCGGUAAUAC
This 408-nucleotide ribosomal RNA is filed under the name uncultured bacterium. RNAcentral describes it as "partial 16S ribosomal RNA". It matches the Rfam family "Bacterial small subunit ribosomal RNA", at positions 28 to 526 of the family's 1533-position model. The record is from RNAcentral.